RNAcentral lists this ribosomal RNA (229 nucleotides) under uncultured bacterium. Its description in RNAcentral is "partial 16S ribosomal RNA". It matches the Rfam family "Bacterial small subunit ribosomal RNA", at positions 568 to 796 of the family's 1533-position model. The record is from RNAcentral.
UCCGUAGGGGGUCUGCCAAGUCUGAUGUGAAAGCCCGCGGCUCAACCGCGGAACUGCAUUGGAUACUGGCGGACUGGAGUCUGCGAGGGGUGAGCGGAAUUCCUGGUGUAGCGGUGGAAUGCGUAGAUAUCAGGAAGAACGCCGAUGGCGAAGGCAGCUCACUGGCGCAGUACUGACCCUGAGGGACGAAAGCGUGGGGAGCAAACAGGAUUAGAUACCCUGGUAGUCC